GAUGAACGCUGGCGGCGUGCCUAAUACAUGCAAGUCGAGCGAACAGACGAGGAGCUUGCUCCUCUAACGUUAGCGGCGGACGGGUGAGUAACACGUGGAUAACCUACCUAUAAGACUGGGAUAACUUCGGGAAACCGGAGCUAAAACCGGAUAAUAUAUUGAACCGCAUGGUUCAAUAGUGAAAGACGGUUUUGCUGUCACUUAUAGAUGGAUCCGCGCCGCAUUAGCUAGUUGGUAAGGUAACAGCUUACCAAGGCAACGAUGCGUAGCCGACCUGAGAGGGUGAUCGGCCACACUGGAACUGAGACACGGUCCAGACUCCUACGGGAGGCAGCAGUAGGGAAUCUUCCGCAAUGGGCGAAAGCCUGACGGAGCAACGCCGCGUGAGUGAUGAAGGUCUUCGGAUCGUAAAACUCUGUUAUUAGGGAAGAACAAAUGUGUAAGUAACUAUGCACGUCUUGACGGUACCUAAUCAGAAAGCCACGGCUAACUACGUG
RNAcentral lists this ribosomal RNA (497 nucleotides) under uncultured bacterium. Its description in RNAcentral is "partial 16S ribosomal RNA". It matches the Rfam family "Bacterial small subunit ribosomal RNA", at positions 28 to 507 of the family's 1533-position model. The record is from RNAcentral.